RNAcentral lists this ribosomal RNA (165 nucleotides) under Tragopogon orientalis. Its description in RNAcentral is "5.8S ribosomal RNA". It matches the Rfam family "5.8S ribosomal RNA". From Rfam's summary of the family: 5.8S ribosomal RNA (5.8S rRNA) is a component of the large subunit of the eukaryotic ribosome. It is transcribed by RNA polymerase I as part of the 45S precursor that also contains 18S and 28S rRNA. The record is from RNAcentral. Lineage: Eukaryota; Viridiplantae; Streptophyta; Magnoliopsida; Asterales; Asteraceae.
AAAAACGACUCUCGGCAACGGAUAUCUCGGCUCACGCAUCGAUGAAGAACGUAGCAAAAUGCGAUACUUGGUGUGAAUUGCAGAAUCCCGUGAACCAUCGAGUUUUUGAACGCAAGUUGCGCCCAAAGCCAUCCGGUUGAGGGCACGCCUGCCUGGGCGUCACGC